AUUGAACGCUGGCGGCAUGCCUUACACAUGCAAGUCGAACGGUAACAGGUCUUCGGAUGCUGACGAGUGGCGAACGGGUGAGUAAUACAUCGGAACGUGCCCGAUCGUGGGGGAUAACGAGGCGAAAGCUUUGCUAAUACCGCAUACGAUCUACGGAUGAAAGCGGGGGAUCUUCUGAUCUCGCGCGGACGGAGCGGCCGAUGGCAGAUUAGGUAGUUGGUGGGAUAAAAGCUUACCAAGCCGACGAUCUGUAGCUGGUCUGAGAGGAUGAUCAGCCACACUGGAACUGAGACACGGCCCAGACUCCUACGGGAGGCAGCAGUGGGGAAUUUUGGACAAUGGGCGAAAGCCUGAUCCAGCCAUGCCGCGUGCAGGAUGAAGGUCUUUGGGUUGUAAACUGCUUUUGUAAGGAACGAAAAGCCUCUUUCUAAUAAAGAGGGGUCAUGACGGUACCGUAAGAAUAAGCACCGGCUAACUACGUG
Molecule: ribosomal RNA, 482 nt
Filed under: uncultured bacterium
Lineage: Bacteria
Description: partial 16S ribosomal RNA
Rfam family: Bacterial small subunit ribosomal RNA
Source: RNAcentral